AACGAACGCUGGCGGCAUGCCUAACACAUGCAAGUCGAACGAUCCGUUCCUGUCGGGGGUCCAACGGCUGCGAACGGGUUGGGAACCUGCGCGUAACUUCCGAUUAACUUAGGGAUAUUUGACGUAAAACCUGGCAAUUUCUUCGUACCAAAGACUUAUCGCUGUGGGGUGGUGCCGCGUUGGAUUAGGUUGGUGGUGGGGUUAAGGCCUACCCAGGCGACGAUCCCUAGCUGGGCUGAGAGGAUGAUCGGCCGCAAUGGGACUGAGACACGGCCCAGGCUCGUACGGGAGGGAGGAGUAGGGUAUACUGGAGAAGGGGCCAAAGCCUGAUACCGCAACGCCGCGUGAGUGAUCAAGGGCUUAGGGUUGUACAGCUCUCUUACCCGGAACGAUAAUGACGGUACCGGGAAAAUAAGCCCCGGCUAACUCCGUG
Molecule: ribosomal RNA, 433 nt
Filed under: uncultured bacterium
Lineage: Bacteria
Description: partial 16S ribosomal RNA
Rfam family: Bacterial small subunit ribosomal RNA
Source: RNAcentral